GAUGAACGCUGGCGGCGUGCCUAAUACAUGCAAGUCGAGCGAACAGACGAGGAGCUUGCUCCUCUGACGUCAGCGGCGGACGGGUGAGUAACACGUGGAUAACCUACCUAUAAGACUGGGAUAACUUCGGGAAACCGGAGCUAAUACCGGAUAAUAUAUUGAACCGCAUGGUUCAAUAGUGAAAGACGGUUUUGCUGUCACUUAUAGAUGGAUCCGCGCCGCAUUAACUAGUUGGUAAGGUAACGGCUUACCAAGGCAACGAUGCGUAGCCGACCUGAGAGGGUGAUCGGCCACACUGGAACUGAGACACGGUCCAGACUCCUACGGGAGGCAGCAGUAGGGAAUCUUCCGCAAUGGGCGAAAGCCUGACGGAGCAACGCCGCGUGAGUGAUGAAGGUCUUCGGAUCGUAAAACUCUGUUAUUAGGGAAGAACAAAUGUGUAAGUAACUAUGCACGUCUUGACGGUACCUAAUCAGAAAGCCACGGCUAACUACGUG
Molecule: ribosomal RNA, 497 nt
Filed under: uncultured bacterium
Lineage: Bacteria
Description: partial 16S ribosomal RNA
Rfam family: Bacterial small subunit ribosomal RNA
Source: RNAcentral